RNAcentral lists this ribosomal RNA (119 nucleotides) under Gossypium arboreum. Lineage: Eukaryota; Viridiplantae; Streptophyta; Magnoliopsida; Malvales; Malvaceae. The record is from RNAcentral.
CGGUGCGAUCAUACCAGCACUAAUGCAUCAGAUCCCAUCAGAACUUCGCAGCAAAGCGUGCUUGGGCGAGAGUAGUACUAGGAUGGUUGACCUCCUUGGAAUUCCUCAUGUUGCACCCC